This 356-nucleotide ribosomal RNA is filed under the name uncultured soil bacterium. Its description in RNAcentral is "bacterial SSU rRNA". It matches the Rfam family "Bacterial small subunit ribosomal RNA", at positions 26 to 409 of the family's 1533-position model. The record is from RNAcentral.
AGAACGAACGCUGGCGGCAUGCCUAAUACAUGCAAGUCGAACGAACACUCCGGUGUUAGUGGCGCACGGGUGCGUAACGCGUGGGAAUCUGCCCUUGGGUUCGGAAUAACAGUUGGAAACGACUGCUAAUACCGGAUGAUGACGAAAGUCCAAAGAUUUAUCGCCCAGGGAUGAGCCCGCGUAGGAUUAGCUAGUUGGUGAGGUAAAGGCUCACCAAGGCGACGAUCCUUAGCUGGUCUGAGAGGAUGAUCAGCCACACUGGGACUGAGACACGGUCCAGACUCCUACGGGAGGCAGCAGUGGGGAAUACUGGACAAUGGGCGAAAGCCUGAUCCAGCCAAUGCCGCGUGUGUGAA